UAGGGAAUCUUGCGCAAUGGGCGAAAGCCUGACGCAGCAACGCCGCGUGGGGGAUGAAGGCCUUCGGGUUGUAAACUCCUUCCAGUGGGAACGAAAUUGACGGUACCCACAGAAGAAGCCCCGGCCAACUACGUGCCAGCAGCCGCGGUGAUACGUAGGGGGCGAGCGUUGUCCGGAUUUAUUGGGCGUAAAGAGCUCGUAGGCGGUUUGGCAAGUCAGCGUGUGAAACCUCCAGGCUUAACCUGGAGACGCCACUUGAUACUGCCAUGACUGGAGUCUGGUAGGGGACCAUGGAAUUCCUGGUGUAGCGGUGAAAUGCGCAGAUAUCAGGAGGAACACCAGUAGCGAAGGCGGUGGUCUGGGCCAGUACUGACGCUGAGGAGCGAAAGCGUGGGGAGCGAACAGGAUUAGAUACCCUGGUAGUCCACGCCAUAAACGAUGACAACUAGAUGUUGGGAGGGUCUGCCUCUCGGUGUCGCAGCUAACGCGUUAAGUUGUCCGCCUGGGGAGUACGGCGGCAAGGU
Molecule: ribosomal RNA, 524 nt
Filed under: uncultured bacterium
Lineage: Bacteria
Description: bacterial SSU rRNA
Rfam family: Bacterial small subunit ribosomal RNA
Source: RNAcentral